Molecule: ribosomal RNA, 335 nt
Filed under: uncultured bacterium
Lineage: Bacteria
Description: bacterial SSU rRNA
Rfam family: Bacterial small subunit ribosomal RNA
Source: RNAcentral
ACUCCUACGGGAGGCAGCAGUAAGGAAUAUUGCGCAAUGGGCGACAGCCUGACGCAGCGACGCCGCGUGGGGGAUGAAGGUCUUCGGAUUGUAAACCCCUUUCGGCAGGGAAGAUGGAGCGAGCAAUCGUUCGGACGGUACCUCCAGAAGCAGCCACGGCUAACUUCGUGCCAGCAGCCGCGGUAAUACGAAGGUGGCAAGCGUUGUUCGGAUUUACUGGGCGUACAGGGAGCGUAGGCUGUUGGGUAAGCCCUCCGUGAAAUCUCCGGGCCUAACCCGGAAAGUGCGGAGGGGACUGCUCGGCUAGAGGAUGGGAGAGGAGCGCGGAAUUCCCG